Molecule: long non-coding RNA, 1090 nt
Organism: Pistacia vera
Lineage: Eukaryota; Viridiplantae; Streptophyta; Magnoliopsida; Sapindales; Anacardiaceae
Exons: 3
Source: RefSeq, a predicted model, not a curated record
AUAUCUAACACAUGUGAUGAUGUAAGAGUGACUAUAGAGAGCACUCUUUACUGUGCUUUGGGCGCUCAACAUCCUAAUAAAAAAUGUAGUGAAGAGUCUACUCCAAAUUACAUUGCCAGUCUGGCAACGUAGAAGUAAAAGAUGAGCCCAAGGUAAAACAAAGCAUACAUCCAAGUUGUCCUACUUUCAGAAGGUCAAAUUGUCUAUCAAGGUCCACGAGAGAAUAUCCUUCAAUUCUUUGAAUACAUGGGUUUCAAAUGCCCAGAUAGAAAAGGAGUUGCUGACUUUCUGCAAGAAGUAACUUCCAAGAAGGGACUAGGAACAGUAUUGGUUUAGGAAGAACCAACUAUACAGAUUUGUUUCGGUUUCAAUUCUUUCCACAUUAGCCGACAGAUUGAGUUAGAUCUUAGGGUUCCUUUUGACACAUCCAGAGCCCACACUGCUGCAUUGGUGAUUGAAAAGUAUGGCGCAUUCUAAAUCGGGAAUUGUUCAAGGCAUGUUUUGCAAGGGAGUGGCUGCCAAUGAAGCGUAAUUCUUUUGUUUAUAUAUUCAAGACUACCCAGAUACCGAUUAUGUCAUUAAUAGCCAUGUCCGUGUUCUUUAGAUCAGAAAUGAAACCUGACACUUUCUUUGGUGGAAAUAAGUAUUUUGGAGCAUUGUUCUUCAGUAUAGUUAAUGUGAUGUUUAAUGGGAUGGCGGAACUUGCAAUGACUAUUAUGAAGCUUCCUGUCUCCUAUAAACAAAGGGAUCACUUAUUCUAUCCUGCAUGGGCUUUUGCCUUACCUAUAUGGGUUCUUAGGAUCCCUUUAUCGUUUAUGGAGUCAGCUAUAUGGAUCGUUCUGACAUACUUCACAAUUGGUUUUGCUCCCUCCUAGCAGGUUUUUCCGACAAUCCUUGGCAUUACUUGGUGUACACCAGAUGGCUCUGUCCCUCUUUCGAUUCAUUGCUGCUCUUGGAAGAACAGAAGUUGUAUCAAAGUUGCUGGGUACCUUCACCUUGCUAAUGGUUUUUCUGCUUGGAGGAUUUAUUAUUUCCAAAAAUGACCUUGAGCCAUGGAUAAUGUGGGGCUACUAUAUGUCUCCUAUGAUGU